AAACAUUUGUGAAAUUGAGUGAAAGAAUGAGAACUUAUUUAUUAACCAUUUUUUAAUUAAAGUGGAUCUUAAAUAUAUGCAAUGAUCUCAAUUUGUAUAGUUUGUGUGUGCUGCCUGUCCUUAGAACUAGGGCAUCAUUAUAAGUUCAACUUAUAAAUUGUGCUGAGUUAUGUGAUUUUAUAGAUUGAACCUGUGCAUUGCUCAUUGUAUGUUAU
This 215-nucleotide unclassified non-coding RNA is filed under the name Hevea brasiliensis (rubber tree). Lineage: Eukaryota; Viridiplantae; Streptophyta; Magnoliopsida; Malpighiales; Euphorbiaceae. The record is from RNAcentral.